Magnolia sinica is the source of this 649-nucleotide long non-coding RNA. RefSeq lists it as uncharacterized. Lineage: Eukaryota; Viridiplantae; Streptophyta; Magnoliopsida; Magnoliales; Magnoliaceae. The record is from RefSeq and is a predicted model, not a curated record. The transcript is spliced from 5 exons.
UGCAUGAGAAGAAUUGCAUUUGACAUGUUUCGAUAUGGAUUUGGGAGCGGUGUGGGAAACCUAUGUCUUAAGUGAAAUUAGUACUAUGAUGGCAUACAUGUUGGCCUAUUAAACUGACUUGUGAUUAUACGGACAGAAACUUAUGUUCCCGCUGACAUUAUACAGGUUCAUGCUCAAUUACUUCUUUGUUUCUGUAAAAAUGCAUAAUCUACUCUUUGUAGACUUGAAUCAUUUGGAUUAUUGUGCUUUAGGAGUGCGAUGGAGAUACACACAGGGUAUUAUCAAACAUGUAGGCAAUGGAGUAGCUGAGAAAAGCAGUUGUAUAGCACGUACUUGGGAACGAACCUGCUGAUGUUUACAGAGAAAAGCAGUUACAACACAUCGUGGUCCAAGAUGAAGUCCUAGCCAAUAGGUUGGGCCUUAUUCCCAUCAAAGCUGACCCAAGGCUAUUCGAAUAUGUUUCAGGUACUUCUUCAAGGUCUUUCUUCAAGGGAUUUGAUAUGUGGAAGGAAGAAACUGUAAUGAAGGUCAGCUUACUUAGAUUUCACAGAUGGUGAUAGUUUCUCCAAGGCCUUGGAACUUAACGGUUCAGAACUUGGGGACUAUGCCUUGAGCUAAGAAGUGACAACCAUGAAGGUGGUGGCAGGAG